This 409-nucleotide long non-coding RNA is filed under the name Papio anubis (olive baboon). Its description in RNAcentral is "lncRNA (ENSPANG00000038623.1)". The record is from RNAcentral. Lineage: Eukaryota; Metazoa; Chordata; Mammalia; Primates; Cercopithecidae.
UUUCUCUUGUCACCCAGCCAGAAACAGAGGUUACAGUGGAGGUCUCUGAGGUGCUGGGGAUGGCAGAUCACAUCGUGAGAGGAGUCUGGACUCCUGAAUGGCACUGUAGAAUGCUUCCCACCAAUCACCUACUUGGACUAUGUGGUCUGGAGUGGAUCCUGAGAAGUCUGCAGAUGAGACUUUGAAGUGCAAGUUGCUAGAGGAUCUGCUGAAAGGUCUUUGCCAGAUGCCAGCAUCUUGAUAUGAACUGUCCUAACCUCCAGAACUGUAAGAAAUAAAUUUAUUUUCUUUAUAAAUUGUCCAGUCUGUAGGAUUCUGUUAUAGAAACAGGAAACAAGCUAAGAAAAAUGACAAUAAAUGUUUACUUAUAUAUGCAACAACAUGAAUGUAUCUUAAAACAUUGAUCAAG